UUAACAUGGUCCUCUUUUUAGACAAUUUCUAUGACCAUGCCUCAUUGUCUUCAUGUUCAAAAUAUUUAAAAUGUAACAAAUUGGAGGAAAUGUAAGUUAUAUCACCAUCUUAUUUCAUGAUUUUUGUGAAAUGAGGAAAUCUCUGCAGAUAUAAAACCCAGAGACUCAUACACACAUUCUGCAUAAUCCUGAGGAAUGAGGCUUAAUAGUCAACCUAAGAAAAUUUGUUAUUCUCAGUUCUAGGAAUUGAUACAUACAUGAUACAUUUCAGAUACAGUAACGUAUCUGAAAUUUGUUUUUCUUUAGGUUUAGUAAGGGUGGAAGAGAGUACUGAUUAGUACUUUGGAAGCAAAUCUGAGAAGCACAUACUUUUCCUUAAAAGGUAGUUGUUACCAGAACUAUUCCUCGUGGUACCUCAAAGAGCUGGGACAAGUUCCUCUGACUGGAUCUUUCUUCCUUUCCACAAGGGGUGAGAGGGGGACUCUUCAGUUCUAUUCUUGCUGCAGUACUUUAAAAAAUGUUUAUUGGAGAAGAAAUUGACUCCUUUAUCAUCAAGUCAUGGAACCUUUUUUGUAUUUUCUUCAUUCUGUUUACCUCCCCUGUGAUCUCUUUGAGUUACUGGCAAGGUGAUUUAUUUGUGGCCCUAAAAUCUCUCUGUUCCUUGAUUUAUAGGUUAUAUCGUGCUUCCUCUCUUCCACACGAUCAGGAUCUUCAAAGUCCCCCAGAGCCUCACAAAACCCAGUGUGGCCAGUCUCUGGUGAAUUCAGUGGUGGUGAUCCAUGGUUCCUGACUCUUUUUCUAAACUGCUUUCUGGAUUCUCUUUGUCCACAAUCUUUCUCAGAGACAUAUGCUUGAUCUAUAAUUGGGCCUUCAAAGAGUGAAACCUGAAUCAAGGCACCAACUUGAAUGUUAUUUCAUAGCAUGGCCUAAUGGAACAGCAAUGGUAUAGCUGGGAAAUUGCAAAAGGAGUAACAAUUUGCCAAAGAGAGUGUGAUGGAUAAGUAAGAUCGGGACCAUUUUCUUAUUUUAUUGGGCUACAAUGAGCAGAAAAGAGGAGACUAUAGUGAAGAAUCAUGUCUCCGUUUCUAUAAAACCAGCAAACAAAGGUGUAAGUAUUGUAUCAUAAGUGGAAAGAAACAAAGUUUCUAGAUAGAAUAGUUAAAAGUUAGCAAAUCUCUUUCUUCUUUUCUUAGGAUAGGAUCUUUAUUCCUUCCAUUUCUCCCCCCAAAUAUCGGGCUUUGCAUUUUAAAAUACAAUACCUAGAAAUAAUAUACCAGAAAAUUCUCUGGAGGGAAAUUUCUAUACCUGUCUUUCCUGUGUAGGAUCCUAAUUAAUAAAUACGUUUAAAUAUAUGACUAAUGAUAUACU
This 1368-nucleotide long non-coding RNA is filed under the name Vulpes vulpes (red fox). RNAcentral describes it as "lncRNA (ENSVVUG00000022507.1)". Lineage: Eukaryota; Metazoa; Chordata; Mammalia; Carnivora; Canidae. The record is from RNAcentral.